UACGGAGGGUGCAAGCGUUAUCCGGAAUUACUGGGCGUAAAGGGCGCGUAGGCGGCCAACUAAGUCGGACGUGAAAUCCCAAGGCUCAACCUUGGAACUGCGUCCGAUACUGGAUGGCUUGAAUCCGGGAGAGGGAUGUGGAAUUCCAGGUGUAGCGGUGAAAUGCGUAGAUAUCUGGAGGAACACCGGUGGCGAAGGCGGCAUCCUGGACCGGUAUUGACGCUGAGGCGCGAAAGCCAGGGGAGCAAACGGG
This 253-nucleotide ribosomal RNA is filed under the name uncultured bacterium. RNAcentral describes it as "partial 16S ribosomal RNA". It matches the Rfam family "Bacterial small subunit ribosomal RNA", at positions 524 to 776 of the family's 1533-position model. The record is from RNAcentral.